RNAcentral lists this ribosomal RNA (497 nucleotides) under uncultured bacterium. RNAcentral's name for it is "partial 16S ribosomal RNA". It matches the Rfam family "Bacterial small subunit ribosomal RNA", at positions 28 to 507 of the family's 1533-position model. The record is from RNAcentral.
GAUGAACGCUGGCGGCGUGCCUAAUACAUGCAAGUCGAGCGAACAGACGAGGCGCUUGCUCCUCUGACGUUAGCGGCGGACGGGUGAGUCACACGUGGAUCACCUCCCUAUCAGACUGGGAUAACUUCGGGAAACCGGCGCUAAUCCCGGAUAAUCUAUUGAACCGCAUUGUUCAUUAGUGAAAUACGGUGUUGCUGUCACUUAUCGCUGGUUAUGCGCUGCAUUAGCUAGUUGUUACGUUCACGGCUUACCACGGCGACUAUGCGUAGCCGACGUGAGAGGGUGGUAGCCCACACGGGAGGUGAGACACGGACAAGACGCCUACGGGAGGCAGCAGUAGGGAAUCUUACGCAAUGGGCGAAAGCCUGACGGAGCAACGGCGCGUGAGUGAUGAAGGUCUUCGGAGCGGAAAACCCUGUUAUGAGGGAAGAACAAAUGUGGAAGGAACUAUGCACGUCGUGACGGUACCUAAUCAGAAAGCCACGGCUAACUACGUG